AACGAACGCUGGCGGCGUGCUUAACACAUGCAAGUCGAACGAGAAAGAGUUCCUUUCGGGAACUUGAGUAAAGUGGCGCACGGGUGAGUAACGCGUAGAUAAUCUACCCUUAUAUAUGGAAUAACUGAGCGAAAGCUCAGCUAAUACCGUAUACGCUUUUCUGACUGCGAAGUCGGGAGAGGAAAGAUGGCCUCUGACAUAAGCUAUCGUAUAAGGAUGAGUCUGCGUACCAUUAGCUAGUUGGUGGGGUAAUGGCCUACCAAGGCUACGAUGGUUAGCGGGUCUGAGAGGAUGAUCCGCCACACUGGAACUGGAACACGGACCAGACUCCUACGGGAGGCAGCAGUGAGGAAUUUUGCGCAAUGGGGGAAACCCUGACGCAGCGACGCCGCGUGGGUGAUGAAGGCUUUCGAGUCGUAAAGCCCUGUCAAGUGGGAAGAAACAUCAAUGUGCUAAUACCAUGUUGAUUUGACGGUACCACUAAAGGAAGCACCGGCUAACUCCGUGCCAGCAGCCGCGGUAAUACGGAGGGUGCAAGCGUUGUUCGGAAUUACUGGGCGUAAAGGGCGCGUAGGCGGCGCUGUAAGUCAGAUGUGAAAGUCCACGGCUUAACCGUGGAAGUGCAUCUGAUACUGCAGUGCUUGAGUAUCGGAGGGGAAAGUAGAAUUCCCGGUGUAGAGGUGAAAUUCGUAGAUAUCGGGAGGAAUACCGGUGGCGAAAGCGACUUUCUGGACGAAUACUGACGCUGAUGCGCGAAAGCGUGGGGAGCAAACAGGA
This 777-nucleotide ribosomal RNA is filed under the name uncultured bacterium. RNAcentral describes it as "bacterial SSU rRNA". It matches the Rfam family "Bacterial small subunit ribosomal RNA", at positions 28 to 777 of the family's 1533-position model. The record is from RNAcentral.